RNAcentral lists this ribosomal RNA (465 nucleotides) under uncultured bacterium. Its description in RNAcentral is "partial 16S ribosomal RNA". It matches the Rfam family "Bacterial small subunit ribosomal RNA", at positions 28 to 507 of the family's 1533-position model. The record is from RNAcentral.
GAUGAACGCUGGCGGCGUGCUUAACACAUGCAAGUCGAACGGAAAGGCCCAAGCUUGCUUGGGUACUCGAGUGGCGAACGGGUGAGUAACACGUGGGUGAUCUGCCCUGCACUUCGGGAUAAGCCUGGGAAACUGGGUCUAAUACCGGAUAGGACCACAUUUUGGAUGGUGUGGUGGAAAGUUUUUCGGUGUGGGAUGAGCUCGCGGCCUAUCAGCUUGUUGGUGGGGUAAUGGCCUACCAAGGCGUCGACGGGUAGCCGGCCUGGGAGGGUGUACGGCCACAUUGGGACUGAGAUACGGCCCAGACUCCUACGGGAGGCAGCAGUGGGGAAUAUUGCACAAUGGGCGCAAGCCUGAUGCAGCGACGCCGCGUGGGGGAUGACGGCCUUCGGGUUGUAAACUCCUUUCGCUAGGGACGAAGCGCAAGUGGCGGUACCUGGAGAAGAAGCACCGGCUAACUACGUG